RNAcentral lists this long non-coding RNA (392 nucleotides) under Brassica napus (rape). RNAcentral's name for it is "long non-coding RNA (BNAP_LNC024789)". The record is from RNAcentral. Lineage: Eukaryota; Viridiplantae; Streptophyta; Magnoliopsida; Brassicales; Brassicaceae.
GAAGAGAGUUGUGGGAAAUGACAUAUAUAUAGAGAAAUUUUCGAGUUUGGUAGGUGAAAUAUAACAACGAUUUUACAAGGAAUGUUUUACAUGGAUUUUACAAAGAAUGUUUUACAUGGAUAUAACAACGAUUUUACAUGAACUUACAACCACUUUACAACGAAAUUAGUUAAGUUAAAGCACAUAGAAUACACGUUUUCACCUAAAUAUAACGGUAACAUGUUUCGUUGUAAUAUCGAUGUAACGGUUACGACGAAUUUAUCUUUCCACCUACUUUUGUCGUAAACUUACAUUGACUUUACGAUGCAACUGUUUCGUCGUAAAGUUACAUCGAGUUUACGAAAAAUUUUGGACUCCUCGUAAUUUCGUUGUAAACGCCAUGUAAAUUUAUG